RNAcentral lists this long non-coding RNA (565 nucleotides) under Mus pahari (shrew mouse). RNAcentral describes it as "predicted gene 17171 (MGP_PahariEiJ_G0003235.1)". Lineage: Eukaryota; Metazoa; Chordata; Mammalia; Rodentia; Muridae. The record is from RNAcentral.
ACAACAUUGGUGCUUUUUAAGCAGCCCUCCAGCCCUUACAAAGGUUCACCAUUUCAGAAGUUUGGACCUCAUGGUAGGAAACAUAUGGUGGACACUCAGAGGCAUGAUCUAAUGGUCUUCCAGGUUUGAGCAUGGACAUCCAUCACCAGUCUGGUUGGAAAGGCACUGCGGAGUGUGAAUGCUGGCUUGCCUGGCCCCACCAGGCCAGGGAAGAAGGCCAGGUAGCUGGGUGACUCCUCCAGAGCUGGCUAUUUGUAUCCCUGUAUGUCCACAAUGGCCCAUCCUCCAAGAUCAUAUACCAGAGUUUUCCAAACUUAAGAGAUUCCUUAGAUUAACAUUCCUCAAGUAAUCUUUCUGCAUUUUAAAUGUGAGUCUUCAUCAGCCAAACAUCUUGCAAUAUUUUCUCUUAGUGUGUAACUCACCUUUUCACUCCCUUGACAAGUCUAUCAUAGAUGAGAAAUCUUUAACAGUAAUGAAAUCUGAUUGGUAGUUUCGUAUUCUUUCUUUCUCUUUUACUUUUAGUAAAAAGUGUAUCUUAUAGAUUUAAAUUCCUUAAGAUUAAAAA